GCAAGUGUCACUCCUCCACGGUAAAUCCCUCCUUACCCAGUAGAGAAGGGACAUUCUUUGGUCAAGGUCAUAUAAAUAACUGAAAAUCCUCUGGUAAAACCUCCAGACAAGUUUCUAGGAUCCAUCUGAGGCACCCGGGUUAGUGCCAUAUGUAUGACUCCAGGCAUAUGUAAACGAGGUACUCUAUGUGGUCUCCUUUU
Molecule: unclassified non-coding RNA, 200 nt
Organism: Cricetulus griseus (Chinese hamster)
Lineage: Eukaryota; Metazoa; Chordata; Mammalia; Rodentia; Cricetidae
Gene: 7SK
Rfam family: 7SK RNA
About the family: 7SK was discovered as an abundant small nuclear RNA in the mid-70s but a possible function has only recently been suggested. Two independent studies have found that 7SK RNA binds the CDK9/cyclin T complex (known as elongation factor P-TEFb). P-TEFb activates transcription by phosphorylating the C-terminal domain of RNA polymerase II.
Source: Ensembl